Molecule: ribosomal RNA, 292 nt
Filed under: uncultured bacterium
Lineage: Bacteria
Description: partial 16S ribosomal RNA
Rfam family: Bacterial small subunit ribosomal RNA
Source: RNAcentral
GUGUCAGCAGCCGCGGUAAUACGUAGGGUGCGAGCGUUAAUCGGAAUUACUGGGCGUAAAGCGUGCGCAGGCGGUUUUGUAAGCCAGUCGUGAAAUCCCCGGGCUUAACCUGGGAAUGGCGAUUGGGACUGCAAGGCUCGAGUAUGGCAGAGGGGACUGGAAUUCCUGGUGUAGCAGUGAAAUGCGUAGAUAUCAGGAGGAAUACCGAUGGCGAAGGCAGGUCCCUGGGCUGAUACUGACGCUCAUGCACGAAAGCGUGGGGAGCAAACAGGAUUAGAAACCCCCGUAGUCC